UAUCACCCUUGGCGUUCAACGUUAACAAGUGAGAAGGGCGGCAUAUACUAUAGAAGCAAGAAGAAAGAAAAAUGCAAACAGGAGAAGAUAGAGUUUAUAUUGGCUAGUUGCCCGGUCAUCCCGUUGGAAGAGAUAACAUGUAUACAUAAUCUGUUGGUUUGUCAGGAGCAAACGACUAGGGAAAAUAGAAUGUUGCUAGAAGUGGAGGGUAGAGAGUGAAGAUAAAUUUGGAGGAUCGUUUACUAAUUAAUGUAUAGAUAAGGUUAUGUCAAACUGACACCAUUCUACCAUCAGGACAAAAGUUUGUUGGGAUACAAGUAAACACCAAACCAGUAACAGUAUCAGAAGAAGAAGAAGAAGAUGGAGAUGAAGGACGAGGAACUUAAAGUGAGUUUUUCAUUUUUACAUCUUUUGGUCAGAACUUCUGAUAGAUAGCAUUUGAUCAACGACAAUGAUGAAAAAUUCAAAACAAAAAGAAGAAAUUAAAAACAAGAAUUCAAGUUUCUG
Molecule: long non-coding RNA, 507 nt
Organism: Chelonus insularis
Lineage: Eukaryota; Metazoa; Arthropoda; Insecta; Hymenoptera; Braconidae
Exons: 3
Source: RefSeq, a predicted model, not a curated record